AUUCUGGUUGAUCCUGCCAGUAGUUAUAUGCUUGUCUCAAAGAUUAAGCCAUGCAUGUCUAAGUACACACGAAUUAAAAGUGAAACCGCAAAAGGCUCAUUAUAUCAGUUAUGGUUCCUUAGAUCGUUAACAGUUACUUGGAUAACUGUGGUAAUUCUAGAGCUAAUACAUGCAAUUAAAACAUGAACCUUAUGGGACAUGUGCUUUUAUUAGGCUAAAACCAAGCGAUCGCAAGAUCGUUAUAUUGGUUGAACUCUAGAUAACAUGCAGAUCGUAUGGUCUUGUACCGACGACAGAUCUUUCAAAUGUCUGCCCUAUCAACUUUUGAUGGUAGUAUCUAGGACUACCAUGGUGCAACGGGUAACGGGGAAUCAGGGUUCGAUUCCGGAGAGGGAGCCUGAGAAACGGCUACCACAUCUAAGGAAGGCAGCAGGCGCGUAAAUUACCCACUCCCAGCUCGGGGAGGUAGUGACGAAAAAUAACAAUACAGGACUCAUAUCCGAGGCCCUGUAAUUGGAAUGAGUACACUUUAAAUCCUUUAACAAGGACCAAUUGGAGGGCAAGUCUGGUGCCAGCAGCCGCGGUAAUUCCAGCUCCAAUAGCGUAUAUUAAAGUUGUUGCGGUUAAAACGUUCGUAGUUGAACUUGUGCUUCAUACGGGUAGUACAACUUACAAUUGUGGUUAGUACUAUACCUUUAUGUAUGUAAGCGUAUUACCGGUGGAGUUCUUAUAUGUGAUUAAAUACUUGUAUUUUUUCAUAUGUUCCUCCUAUUUAAAAACCUGCACUAGUGCUCUUAAACGAGUGUUAUUGUGGGCCGGUACUAUUACUUUGAACAAAUUAGAGUGCUUAAAGCAGGCUUCAAAUGCCUGAAUAUUCUGUGCAUGGGAUAAUGAAAUAAGACCUCUGUUCUGCUUUCAUUGGUUUUCAGAUCAAGAGGUAAUGAUUAAUAGAAGCAGUUUGGGGGCAUUAGUAUUACGACGCGAGAGGUGAAAUUCUUGGACCGUCGUAAGACUAACUUAAGCGAAAGCAAUGGGCCAAAGAUGUUUUCAUUAAUCAAGAACGAAAGUUGA
Drosophila sechellia is the source of this 1071-nucleotide ribosomal RNA. It matches the Rfam family "Eukaryotic small subunit ribosomal RNA", at positions 1 to 993 of the family's 1831-position model. NCBI's taxonomy places the organism in Eukaryota, Metazoa, Arthropoda, Insecta, Diptera, Drosophilidae. The record is from Rfam.